GAUGUGGCGUUGCCCAGACAACUAGGAUGUUGGCUUAGAAGCAGCCAUCAUUUAAAGAGUGCGUAAUAGCUCACUAGUCGAGUGACACUGCGCCGAAAAUGUACCGGGGCUAAACAUAUUACCGAAGCUGUGGAUUGUCCUUUGGACAAUGGUAGGAGAGCGUUCUAAGGGCGUUGAAGCAUGAUCGUAAGGACAUGUGGAGCGCUUAGAAGUGAGAAUGCCGGUGUGAGUAGCGAAAGACGGGUGAGAAUCCCGUCCACCGAUUGACUAAGGUUUCCAGAGGAAGGCUCGUCCGCUCUGGGUUAGUCGGGUCCUAAGCUGAGGCCGACAGGCGUAGGCGAUGGAUAACAGGUUGAUAUUCCUGUACCACCUAUAAUCGUUUUAAUCGAUGGGGGGACGCAGUAGGAUAGGCGAAGCGUGCGAUUGGAUUGCACGUCUAAGCAGUAAGGCUGAG
Molecule: ribosomal RNA, 454 nt
Filed under: Staphylococcus aureus
Lineage: Bacteria; Bacillati; Bacillota; Bacilli; Caryophanales; Staphylococcaceae
Description: partial 23S ribosomal RNA
Rfam family: Bacterial large subunit ribosomal RNA
Source: RNAcentral